This 305-nucleotide ribosomal RNA is filed under the name uncultured bacterium. RNAcentral's name for it is "bacterial SSU rRNA". It matches the Rfam family "Bacterial small subunit ribosomal RNA", at positions 333 to 636 of the family's 1533-position model. The record is from RNAcentral.
UUACGCCUACGGGGGGCAGCAGUGAGGAAUAUUGGUCAAUGGCCGAGAGGCUGAACCAGCCAAGUCGCGUGAGGGAAGAAUGUCCUAAGGAUUGUAAACCUCUUUUGUCGGGGAGCAAAAAGGCUCUGCGGAGUCGUAUUGAGAGUACCCGAAGAAAAAGCAUCGGCUAACUCCGUGCCAGCAGCCGCGGUAAUACGGAGGAUGCGAGCGUUAUCCGGAUUUAUUGGGUUUAAAGGGUGCGCAGGCGGCAAGUUAAGUCAGCGGUAAAAUUUCGGGGCUCAACCCCGACGAGCCGUUGAAACUGG